AGCAGCCGCGGUAAUUCCAGCUCCAAUAGCGUAUAUUAAAGUUGUUGCAGUUAAAAAGCUCGUAGUUGAAUUUCGGGGUUAGUAGGUUGGUCAUGCCUCUGGUAUGUACUGGUCUCACUGAUUCCUCCUUCCUGAUGAACCUUAAUGCCAUUAACUUGGUGUUUUGGGGAAUUUGGACUGUUACUUUGAAAAAAUUAGAGUGUUUAAAGCAAGCUAACGCUUGAAUACAUUAGCAUGGAAUAAUGAAAUAGGACGUUCGAUCCUAUUUUGUUGGUUUCUAGGAUUGACGUAAUGAUUAAUAGGGAUAGUUGGGGGCAUUAGUACUCAAUUGUCAGAGGUGAAAUUCUUGGAUUUAUUGAAGACUAACUACUGCGAAAGCAUUUGCCAAGGAUGUUUUCAUUAAUCUAAGAACGAAAGUUAGGGGAUCGAAGACGAUCAGAUACCGUCGUAGUCUUAACCAUAAACUAUGCCGACUAGGGAUCGGAUGAUGUUAAUUUUUUAAUGACUCAUUCGGCGCCUU
This 520-nucleotide ribosomal RNA is filed under the name uncultured Glomus. RNAcentral's name for it is "SSU rRNA". It matches the Rfam family "Eukaryotic small subunit ribosomal RNA", at positions 569 to 1089 of the family's 1831-position model. The record is from RNAcentral. Lineage: Eukaryota; Fungi; Glomeromycota; Glomeromycetes; Glomerales; Glomeraceae.